This 253-nucleotide ribosomal RNA is filed under the name uncultured bacterium. RNAcentral's name for it is "partial 16S ribosomal RNA". It matches the Rfam family "Bacterial small subunit ribosomal RNA", at positions 524 to 776 of the family's 1533-position model. The record is from RNAcentral.
UACGUAGGGGGCGAGCGUUGUCCGGAGUUACUGGGCGUAAAGGGCGUGCAGGCGGUGCGGUAAGUUUAGCGUGACAGUCUCCGGCUUAACUGGAGAAGGCCGCUGAAAACUGCUGGACUUGAGGGCCAGAGAGGGACAUAGAAUUCCGGGUGGAGUGGUGAAAUGCGUAGAUAUCCGGAGGAAUACCAAAGGCGAAGGCAGUGUCCUGGCUGGCAACUGACGCUGAGGCGCGAAAGCGUGGGGAGCAAACAGG